Molecule: long non-coding RNA, 2558 nt
Organism: Papaver somniferum (opium poppy)
Lineage: Eukaryota; Viridiplantae; Streptophyta; Magnoliopsida; Ranunculales; Papaveraceae
Exons: 7
Source: RefSeq, a predicted model, not a curated record
CAUCGUUCCUCUCCCUCUCUCUCGAUCUCUCAUAAGAAACAGUAUCGAAGAUAAACUCAUUUCUCUUCUUCUUCGUUGUUCUUCGUUUUCUUUCUUCUGAACUUCUUCUUUUUCGUUGUUCUUCGAUUUUUUUCUUCUCAAAAGAAUGAACUGAGAAAUCGUUCAUAUCAAUUAAGAAGAAAUCUGGAGAAGUAAAUGAAUCAGGAAGUUGUUACCGAGGUUGUGAAUUUGGUUUUGGUUAGGUUUAUUAUUGAUUGAAUAACGACGAAUCAGUAAGAAAUAGAGUUAGGGUUUCUGCAGUUAGUAUUGAGUUUGUGCAAAAUCGAAGGAGGAAUUGGUGGAUUGAAUAACAUAAGGAGGAGACGGUAGAGUUGUAUUAACUCCGGUUACAGAGGAUAGGGUAAAUCAGGAAGAGGGAGUUAGGGUUUGGAAAUUGAUUUAAGGUUCAAUUAGUGAUAGAUGGGAAGAAAUCAAAGACUGGGUUUGGUGAUUUGAGAAGUGAAUCGAUGUUUUGAAAUGAUGGUUCUGAGUAUAGAUGAUGGUAAUUGAAGAUGAAACCGAUGGUUAAGGUUUGGAAUUUGAUUUAAGGUUACGAUAAAAUUGAGUAAAAAGUUAAGUAAAGGAGGCUUUGGUCAAGUAUAUGUUGGUAGAAGGGUUUCAGGUGGAAGUAGGACUUCUUGUCCAACUGUUGUAGAGGUCUCAUGCGAUGGAACAUCUAAUGAUCAAACUACUCAUGGAAAAUCCUAUUUUGAUCGUUUACGUGUUGCGGUUUAUGAAGCCUUGCCUAUUUUCUGUCAUGUCGAACCAGAAGGGAAGCCAAGUAGUUCAAAAACUUUGCAAACAUGUGAAAAAUAUGUACUUGGGGGAUCUAUACGAAAUAGCAGUGAUAAACUGCGAAUAAGCUUUGCUACUACAGAACAAGGAUGUUUCUCUCUCAAAGCUGUUAUUGAAUCCAUAGACAAGUUUCAGCUGCUAUCAAUCAUCAUAGACCAGGUUGUGUCCCUUUCUGCACACGAAUACGGGAAUUUUGUGGUGCAACAUGUACUAGAGCGCCAUCCUAAUACUGCCAACCUUAUAUGCAAUAACCUUAGGGGACACUUAUUUCGAAUUUCUAAGGCAGUAAUGUUGUAGAAAAAUGUAUCGAAUCGAAUGCUACCAAUGUUAUAGUUUCGCAACUCUUCUGUGAUUGUAAUCAACUUGUUGAACUCGCUCAAGAUAAGUUUGGCAACUAUGUCGUCCAGAAAGCCCUUAAAGCUUAGUAAGGGAAAGGCAUUACGCCAACUAGUUGACGCCCUUCGCAAAUGUUCGGGCGAUCUCAAGAAUCAUCCAAAUGGGAGGAAUGUGCAUAACUUGAUUAAAGGAGAAUUGUUGCUGUACGAGAAUGAUUUAAGUUGUUGUACGAGAAUGAUUUAAGGUGUUUUUAGAGAAAAUAAACAUGUGUGUAAAAUUCGGCUCAAAAAGUGCUAUUUGGAACCCCGGAGGAGAUUUGUUACCCUGACUCUCAGUUUGGAUAAGGGACACCCAAUUACUAAGGGGCACACUAGCUGUUAUUUACACCCCACUGGUGGGCAGCUGCUAAAGAGACACCGUAUCCAGAUAGGGGGACUCCCCUUUCUUCUUCGUUUGAAUCUAAAAAUUGGCAGGAAUAUUUGAGCUUCACGGACCAGAAUUAGGGAUUGUAAAUUGGAGAUGUUAGAAGGAGACUAGAGCGCUGAAACUCUUGGGGACGACUUAUUUUGACCUAACAGAGAUGGUAUGGGCUUUAGAAUCGCUGAAAUUUGGCUGGAUAUUGUUUCCCAACAAAACAGGAGAGGCUAGUUUUCUCGGGUUUUCUGGGAAAGUUUGGGCAGAGAUUUACUUGGAGAUUUUCAUGGGAAAGGCUUUGUUUGGGCCUGUGAUGAUGAAACAGGUCUGGUAAAUCCUUUGGUUUCGAGAAAAUAGCAAAGUUUACGUGGAUUUAACAAAACAGAGAGGAAUAUUCUCCCGUGAGAUAUUCUCGAGAUUAUUGUUAUUCUUGGUUGAUUUGGGUGGCUGAGUGUGUUUGACAGCAUCAGCGAUGAGUAAGAAGCAUACUGGGAGUGUUCUGGCAGAAAACCAACGCGUGAAAAGGAGAGAAAGGAAAGAUAUUAUUGACGAGAUUAAUUUUCUUUACUGUCGAGUUAUGGGAGAUCUUUUGGAGUUUUGAGGAGUAAUCCUUGGUCCUGACGAGUAUAUAUAGCGUACUGGUGGAGCAGAAAAGGGGGAUGGAGAGUUAGGGGAGAAAACAAAGGCUUAGAAUCGAGUUGCAGACAAUCACCAUUGCUGCAACGAAGAAGAAGAGAAAGAACACAAAACAACACAUAUAGACAGUCGCAGAACCGUUGCCUUCACUUUCAAAUUUGAUUAUCUUUGUAACAAUUUCUGUAACACUUAAUCCAGUUCGCAACAGUCUGUUAGUGUUUCUUUGUAACAGUGGGUUCUGUAACAAUUAUAACUGUAACAAACACACUGCUUUAUACCUUUUCUCCUUGCAAACACCUUUUUGAGCAAUGAAAAAUUCAUUUGAGUGUGUUUUCACC